RNAcentral lists this long non-coding RNA (3197 nucleotides) under Homo sapiens (human). RNAcentral's name for it is "non-protein coding lnc-UCK2-2:5". The record is from RNAcentral. Lineage: Eukaryota; Metazoa; Chordata; Mammalia; Primates; Hominidae.
AUUCCAGGUCAGCUUGGCUGUGGUCUUAGAGGCAGGGAGUGCCUACCCAGUCCUGCCUCAGGAGCAGGAUGGAGUUUCACUCUUUCACCCAGGCUGGAGUGCAAUGGCACGAUCUCGGCUCACUGCAGCCUCUGCCUUCCAGUUUCAAGCGAUUCUCCUGCCUCAGCCUCCCAAGUAGCUGGGAUUACAGGCGCCCGCCACCAUGCCGGCUAAUUUUUGUAUUUUUGAUAGAGACGGGGUUUCACCAUGUUGUCCAGGCUGGUCUUGAACUCCUGACCUUGUGAUCCACCUGCCUCAGCUCCCCAAAAUGCUAGGAUUACAAGCAAGAGCCACCGUGCCCAGCCCACCAUCUCCAUUUUGCAAAGGAGGAAACUGAGACACAGUGACACCAAGGAUGACAACUGGAGUAAACCAUGGAGGCAGGAUUCUCACCCUAACAGAUACCUCAACAGGCCAAAUUUAAGUACUUGUGGAAGGAAAACUACCAUGUCUUGAGCACCUAGCGUACUUCAGGCACCAUGUUAGGUACUUUGUAUGGGUUAACUAAUUUGGUCAUCGUAAGUCCUUGUGAAGGGGGCACUGUAAGUCCUGUGUUACAAAUGCAACAACUUAGAUGGAGAGAAGUUAAGUAAUGUGUCUCUCUUUGCCCAGCUUGUAAGUGGCAGAGCUGGGACUUAAACCCAGAGGAGACAUACACAUGACUGUGUUGUGUUGUCAAUUUUUAAAAGUUACAUUACUUAAUUGAUUGGUUAAUUCUUUUAACGUGUGAUGUUUGAAAUGUGUAGGCAUCUAAGACAGUAUGUGGGCAGGGGGUGGGCAGGGAGACACACAAAGAUGACUCUGACCUGGCUACUAGCAGGCAUAAGCCGUAAGUAAAUGACUACAGUGCAAGGAGGAAUGGGAGGAGUGCCGCUCAGGCUGGAGAGCAUUCUGGGGUGCUGGGGAUGGCAGAGGGUACUUGUGUCUGCUGCUUUUACCUUCUGCACCCUGGGGAGGGUGGUUCAGAAGUCAGCCUGCCCCAACGCAAAGCCCAGGCUGCAGAUGCUUUGACCCAAUUCUGCUCAAGCUGUUGGUCAUCUCCUUCCAACACUCAAGAGACUGGCUUUUGUCCCUGGAUGGAUCAUCUCUGCUCUGAUGAUUCUGGCAUCCAUGUGAGAACCAGCAGGGGAACAGCUAUGCAACAGAGGCCUCUGGAACCUCACGCUCUUUAGAUGUUAAAUUGAAAUCAGGUGCUUUAUGACUCGUCUGUAUUCAGGAGCCCAUCAACGCUGCAUGGGAACUGCUGUGGAUUCAAAAGGAACACCAGUGUCAUCCCUGCAUGGCCCUUUACUCCACUGUGCUCCAUGUUCUCCUCACUCCCUCCCAAGGGAGUUUUCUCCCAUCUGCAGACCCUGCUGGGUGGGGCAGAAAGAGCACUGGGUUUGGACUCAGAAGAUCCAGGCCCACUAUCUGGUCUGUCACUCAGCAGCAUGACUGUCACGAAGGCUCUCCUAGGCCUCAGUCUUCUGAGCAGUAAAAUGGGAUAAUAAUGCCUUCUUGCAGAGCUGCCAUGUGGGUUACAUGAGAAGUAUGUGGAACGGUAGGUGUCACACUUACUGCAAUUUCCAGGCCUCACGGACUGGCAUACAGCUAUGGCCAAGUCAUUCCCACCCUUCAAUCCUCUGUGAAGGGCUUCCUGACUGUUCCAGCCUGCCUGACUUCUGGAGGGAUGUAGGACUGACCCGAAGUAUUUGGCCAACCACGGGGAGGGGCAGAGGGGGCAGACACUGGGUGAAUCUGGGCUUUGGGCUGUGUGGGGCUAGUGGGCUCCUCCAGUGUACAAUUCUUGAGAGGCUUCCCAGUACUGGUAGAAUACCACCCAAACCUCUAAUGUGCUCCACACAGUCCUGCAUCCUCUGGCCUCUGACUCCCCAGCUUCAUCUCACACCACACUCCCCCAUGCUCUCAGUGUUCCACUGCAAACAGCUUUCCACCCCCAAUAGCUUUCCUUAUGGUCCUCCAACAUGCCAGGCUCUUCCCUGCCUCAGAGCCUCGGCAGACACUGUCUGGAAGGUACUUUUUCCCACUGCUCCCUUGGGCAACUGAGUAAUCCUUAGGUCUAAACCCAAGUGUCACUUCCUCUGGGAUACCUCCCCUGAUCCAUGCACCACCUCCUCCCACGCUGAACGAAACUAGGUCUCUGCUAUAGAACUGCAUCUUCUCCUGAUUCAUAGAACUUAUCACCAUUUGUAAUUAUAUACAUGUGAACCUAUUUAUGAUUUAAUGUGUCUCUCUUCGUGUGGAUUGGAACACCUUAACUGAUCACUGCUACUGACGAGGAUCCACCACAGCCUCGGAUAUAGUGGUAUUCCAUCAGCGUGUAUGAAGAGUGAAUGUCUACAUGAAACAGGUAGCGACAAGGGGCAAGAGGAUGGAGGAGAGUGGGAAGGGAGUGGUGGCAGUGAUGUGCCUGAGAGGUACCACGGUGGGCAGCAGGGAAAAAGCAGAGGGCUCUAGGAAGUGAAAGAAUGGGUCAGGAGGAAGACCUGAGAGUGGGCUGUUUGCAUUUAAGAUUUCAGAGGGGCAGCCAUGAAGCAUGGCCUGUUUUGAGGCUCCUAGGAAGGGGAAGAUGCAGCCUUGUGAUGGAGUUUUGUACAGUUAGGGCAUCCAGAGUGCCCUGGGACUGGGAACUGGCAAGGAAAUAAGAGAGAGCUCUGGAAUGGGGGGUGAGGGGGAGGGUACCGAUGGUGCCUAUGUCCCUGUGUUAUGGGGUGGCCCUGCACUCCAGAUGUCACCAGUAUCCCUUGGACUCAGUAGGAGGGAGCUCUCUCCAGGGAAAAGGGAACUCUGUUAACAUAACCGCGGUGGGGGUUAAAGAGCAGCUUUCCCUCAGUGGUACAGAGCCCUGUGGCUGGCAGCGCUGCACAGACUCCUCGAGACUCAGCUCCCACUGUCCCUGAGCCACACUGGGGCUCUUCGCCCUCCUGGCAGCAAUUAUAAAGUUGAACAGCAGAGGCAGGGGAGGAUCGAAAGCCAAACAGGAAGCCAAUAAUUGCCUCUUGCAGAAAUAGCUCUUUCAAAAUAAAAGUGAGGUCCUGAGGUUCCUACCCAGGUCAGUUAUACAAUGCUGCUCCUGUCCUCCCAGAGCCCUGUAAUCUUCUUCCCAGUGUCUACUUUCUGGCCCUGAACUCCAGUACAGGUCAAAAGAUGUCCAUGUG